Molecule: ribosomal RNA, 433 nt
Filed under: uncultured bacterium
Lineage: Bacteria
Description: partial 16S ribosomal RNA
Rfam family: Bacterial small subunit ribosomal RNA
Source: RNAcentral
AACGAACGCUGGCGGCAUGCCUAACACAUGCAAGUCGAACGAGACCUUCGGGUCUAGUGGCGCACGGGUGCGUAACGCGUGGGAACCUGCCCUUAGGUUCGGAAUAACUCCCCGAAAGGGGUGCUAAUACCGGAUAAUGUCUUCGGACCAAAGAUUUAUCGCCUUUGGAUGGGCCCGCGUUGGAUUAGCUAGUUGGUAGGGUAAAGGCCUACCAAGGCGACGAUCCAUAGCUGGUCUGAGAGGAUGAUCAGCCACACUGGGACUGAGACACGGCCCAGACUCCUACGGGAGGCAGCAGUGGGGAAUAUUGGACAAUGGGCGCAAGCCUGAUCCAGCAAUGCCGCGUGAGUGAUGAAGGCCUUAGGGUUGUAAAGCUCUUUUACCCGGGAUGAUAAUGACAGUACCGGGAGAAUAAGCUCCGGCUAACUCCGUG